GACGAACGCUGGCGGCGUGCUUAACACAUGCAAGUCUUUCGGAAAGCCCCUGCUUUUGUGGCUUGCUCGAGUGGCGAACGGGUUAGUAACACGUGAGUAACCUCCCCUUUACUUUGGGAUAACUUCAGGAAACUGGGGCUACUACCGGAUAUGAGCUCCUGCUGCAUGGUGGCGGUUGGAAAGAUGCGGCGAUGCGGGAGAGCCUCGCGUCUUAUCAGCUUGUUGGGGGGGUAGUGGCUCACCAAGGCGAUGACAAGCAGCCGGCCUGAGAGGGUGGACGGCAACAAGGGGACUGAGAUACGGCGCUGACUCCUACGGGAGGCAGCAGUGGGGAAUAUUGGACAAUGGGGGCAACCCUGAGCCAGCAAUUCGGUGUGAACGAUGAAGGUUUUCGGAUUGUAAAGUGCUUUCAGAAGGGAAGAAAAAAAUGACGGUACCUGCAGAAGAAGCGACGGCUAAAUACGUG
This 466-nucleotide ribosomal RNA is filed under the name uncultured bacterium. RNAcentral describes it as "partial 16S ribosomal RNA". It matches the Rfam family "Bacterial small subunit ribosomal RNA", at positions 28 to 507 of the family's 1533-position model. The record is from RNAcentral.